UGUCGUAACAAGGUUUCCGUAGGUGAACCUGCGGAAGGAUCAUUACGGUGCAUCCGACCCACACGUGAACUGUUGAAAGGUGACAUGGUGUUUGGUUUCACGAUCAAAACCGGUCACCGCCCCUUCUUCCACACACACGAACAAUCGAGCUGAAGCGAUGGGGUAGCGGGCUUUUACAGACCGCUGCCUUUAACCGUGACAACUCUCAACAACGGAUGUCUUGGCUCUCGCAACGAUGAAGAACGCAGCGAAAUGCGAUACGUAGUGUGAUUUGCACUGUACGUGAACCAUCGAAUCUUUGAACGCAUAUUGCACUCGAGGCUUCGGCCAAGAGUAUGCCUGCCUGAGCGUCAGUGUACCCUCACCCCAAUUAAUUUUGGGAUGGAAAUGGACGUCCGAUCGGAACCUGCGAAGGUUUCGAUGGGUCGGCUGAAAGGCAGUCGCGGUGCGACCGAUCGCACGAUCAGCGUGGUAGACCUAUUCUUAGGACGGAUCGCUCGGUCAGAUCGGUAACACUUCGAUCCGAAUACUGGUGCGUGUCUCGACUCCGCGGGCCCUCGCGGCUGGUGGAAUAAGAGCCGUGCCAUCUCACCUUUUGACCUCAGUUCAGACAAGGCUACCCGCCGAAUUUAAGCAUAUUACUAAGCGGAGGAAAAGAAAAUAACAAUGAUUCCCCUAGUAACGGCGAGCGAACCGGGAAGAGCCCAACUUGAAAAUCUGGAGGCUUGUCCUUCCGAAUUGUAGUCUAGAGAAGUGCCAUCUGCGGCUGGCUGGUCGAAAGUUCCCUGGAAAGGGACGUCAGAGAGGGUGAGAGCCCCGUCACGAUCGGUUAAGUCGCUCCACGAUGCGCUUUCGAGGAGUCGGGUUGUUUGGGAAUGCAGCCCUAAGCGGGAGGUAAAUUCCUUCUAAGGCUAAAUAUUGGCGAGAGACCGAUAGCGAACAAGUACCGCGAGGGAAAGAUGAAAAGACCUUUGAAAAGAGAGUUAAAAAGUACCUGAAAUUGUUGAGGGGGAAGCGAUUGAAACCAGCGGGUGCUCCUCGGGUAGGGUCAAACCACACGCCGAGGGCUGGUCAACGUGGGUUAGUCGGGCGGGAUAUUACGCUUGAUUGACCGAGGACUCGACGUUGGCGGAAUGGUUUCAAUCGGCCCGUCUAGAAACACGGACCAAGGAGUCUAACAUGUGUGCGAGCCGGUGGGUGACAAACCCACGAGGCGCAAGUAACCUGACUGAGCAAAUUCGACCGACCAUGAUCUUCUGUGAAAGGUUUGAGUGCGAGCAUACAUGCUGGGACCCGAAAGAUGGUGAACUAUGCGUGA
This 1318-nucleotide ribosomal RNA is filed under the name Micromonas sp. RCC303. RNAcentral's name for it is "eukaryotic LSU rRNA". The stretch from base 597 to 1318 matches the Rfam family "Eukaryotic large subunit ribosomal RNA", at positions 1 to 840 of the family's 3401-position model. The record is from RNAcentral. Lineage: Eukaryota; Viridiplantae; Chlorophyta; Mamiellophyceae; Mamiellales; Mamiellaceae.